This 81-nucleotide ribosomal RNA is filed under the name Eptatretus burgeri (inshore hagfish). Lineage: Eukaryota; Metazoa; Chordata; Myxini; Myxiniformes; Myxinidae. The record is from RNAcentral.
CGGUGCGACCAUACCAGUACUACUGCACCGGAUCCCAUCAGAACUCCGCAGUUAAGUGUUCUUGGGCGAGAGCAGUACUAG